Molecule: small RNA, 107 nt
Filed under: Marmota monax (woodchuck)
Lineage: Eukaryota; Metazoa; Chordata; Mammalia; Rodentia; Sciuridae
Source: RNAcentral
GUUGGGCAUGGUGGUGCAUACCUGUAAUCCCAGUGACUCAGGAGGCUGAGUCAAGAGGAUUGCAUGAUUGAGACUAGCCUUGGCAACCUAGCAAGACCCUGUCUCCA